RNAcentral lists this ribosomal RNA (468 nucleotides) under uncultured bacterium. RNAcentral describes it as "partial 16S ribosomal RNA". It matches the Rfam family "Bacterial small subunit ribosomal RNA", at positions 28 to 507 of the family's 1533-position model. The record is from RNAcentral.
GACGAACGCUGGCGGCGUGCUUAACACAUGCAAGUCGAACGGAAAGACCCUGCUUUUUUGCUGUGCGCGGGUGGCGAACGGGUGUGUCACCCGUGAGUAGCCUACCCUGUACUUUGGGAUAACUUCACAUUACGGGGGCUACUACCGGCUAGGAGCUAUUCCUGCUGAGAGUAGCUUAGAAAGUUUAGGCGGUUUGGGAUGGACUCGCGGCUUAUUAGCUUGGUGGUUGGGUAGUGGCUUACCAAGGCAUUGACGGGUAGCCGGCCUGAGAGGGUGACCGGCCACAUUGGGACUGAGAUACGGCACAGACUCCUAUGGGAGGCAGGAGUGGGGAGUAUUGCACAACGGGCGGAAGCCUGAUGCAGCAACGCCGCGUGCGGGAUGACGGCCUGCGGGUUGUAAACCACUUUCGCCUGUGACGAAGAGUGAGUGACGGUAAUGGGUAAAGAAGCACCGGCUAACUACGUG